CGGGGGAAAAUUUAUUGCUAUUAGAUGAGCCUAUAUUAGAUUAGCUAGUUGGUGGAGUAAUAGCCUACCAAGGCAAUGAUCUAUAGCUGAUCUGAGAGGAUGAUCAGCCACACUGGAACUGAGAUACGGUCCAGACUCCUACGGGAGGCAGCAGUGGGGAAUAUUGGACAAUGGGCGAAAGCCUAAUCCAGCCAUGCCGCAUGAGUGAAGAAGGCCUUUGGGUUGUAAAGCUCUUUUAGUGAGGAAGAUAAUGACGGUACUCACAGAAGAAGUCCUGGCUAACUCCGUGCCAGCAGCCGCGGUAAUACGGAGAAGGCUAGCGUUAUUCGGAAUUAUUGGGCGUAAAGGGCGCGUAGGCUGAUUAAUAAGUUAAAAGUGAAAUCCCGAGGCUUAACCUUGGAAUUGCUUUUAAGACUAUUAAUCUAGAGAUUGAAAGAGGAUAGAGGAAUUCCUGAUGUAGAGGUAAAAUUCGUAAAUAUUAGGAGGAACACCAGUGGCGAAGGCGUCUAUCUGGUUCAAAUCUGACGCUGAAGCGCGAAGGCGUGGGGAGCAAACAGGAUUAGAUACCCUGGUAGUCCACGCUGUAAACGAUGAAUGUUAAAUAUGGGAAGUUUACUUUCUGUAUUACAGCU
This 632-nucleotide ribosomal RNA is filed under the name Wolbachia endosymbiont of Amrasca devastans. Its description in RNAcentral is "bacterial SSU rRNA". It matches the Rfam family "Bacterial small subunit ribosomal RNA", at positions 198 to 853 of the family's 1533-position model. Lineage: Bacteria; Pseudomonadati; Pseudomonadota; Alphaproteobacteria; Rickettsiales; Anaplasmataceae. The record is from RNAcentral.